This 253-nucleotide ribosomal RNA is filed under the name uncultured bacterium. Its description in RNAcentral is "partial 16S ribosomal RNA". It matches the Rfam family "Bacterial small subunit ribosomal RNA", at positions 524 to 776 of the family's 1533-position model. The record is from RNAcentral.
UACGUAGGGUGCAAGCGUUAAUCGGAAUUACUGGGCGUAAAGCGUGCGCAGGCGGUGAUGUAAGACAGGUGUGAAAUCCCCGGGCUUAACCUGGGAACUGCAUUUGUGACUGCAUCGCUGGAGUGCGGCAGAGGGGGAUGGAAUUCCGCGUGUAGCAGUGAAAUGCGUAGAUAUGCGGAGGAGCACCGAUGGCGAAGGCAAUCCCCUGGGCCUGCACUGACGCUCAUGCACGAAAGCGUGGGGAGCAAACAGG